RNAcentral lists this ribosomal RNA (253 nucleotides) under uncultured bacterium. Its description in RNAcentral is "partial 16S ribosomal RNA". It matches the Rfam family "Bacterial small subunit ribosomal RNA", at positions 524 to 776 of the family's 1533-position model. The record is from RNAcentral.
UACAGAGGAGCCAAGCGUUGUCCGGAUUGACUGGGCGUAAAGCGCACGCAGGCGGACGCGCGCGUGGGGUGUGAAAUCUGGCCGCUUAACGGCCAGCGGCCAUCCCAUACGGCGGGUCUGGAGCGAUGCAGAGGUCGGUGGAAUUGCCGGUGUAGUGGUGAAAUGCGUAGAUAUCGAGAGGAACACCUGCGGCGAAGGCGGGUUGCUGGGCCGACACUGACGCUGAUGCGCGAAAGCCAGGGGAGCGAACGGG